Ciona intestinalis (vase tunicate) is the source of this 525-nucleotide non-coding RNA. NCBI's taxonomy places the organism in Eukaryota, Metazoa, Chordata, Ascidiacea, Phlebobranchia, Cionidae. The record is from RefSeq and is a predicted model, not a curated record.
GGGAAGGUUACGGGAAUGUGUUUUAAGCAUAUUACAGUUACGGGAAAUUACGGGAAUGUGUUUUAAGCAUAUUACAGUUACUGGAAAAUUACGGGAAUAUGUUUUAGGCUUGUUUCAAGCCUACAGCACCAGUUACGGGAAAAUAACGGGAAUGUGUUUUAUGCUUGUUUCAAGCCUACACCAGUUACGGGAAAAUUACGGGAAUGUGUUUUAUGCUUGUUUACCAGUUACGGGAAAAUUACGGGAGAAACUGUGGAGAAAGGACAACAGUAUCGUCUCACACUACGAGGAUUAGCCCGUCGGUGUGUAAAAGAAGGACUCAUCGGUUAUUCGGCAGCAACAUCAUCAUUUUCUGUAAAUCAUCCCAUGACCAAGCAAGUCCACAGUGUUAAGUUGUUUCCUUUGCCAUCGCGAUGCUCCUGUAGCAGCACGGGAAGAUGCUUUCACUUAAUUGCAGUACAAAUGUCUUUGCAGUUGCCAGAAAGUCAAACUCGAGACACUUCAACAUAUUCUUUACCACAGAUG